UGCCGAUAGGUUGUAAAAUGUUACAGUCGUUAUGGGCCUGUUUCCAUUACCCGUGAAUGCGGCUGUGACCGUGAUUUAAAUUCAUGCUAUAUAUAGGCCUUAGUUCUCUACAAUAUUAUGUUUUGUUAUGACAAUCAAAUUUGAAUAAAUAAUAUUUUGAGAAUUAGUUCUAUUUUCAACGAUUGAUCGUUGAUUUGUUCUUUGUUCCUUUUUGUUCUACAUCAAUUUGGUCCUUGUAUUUUAAGGAAACUAAUUAGUUG
Molecule: unclassified non-coding RNA, 260 nt
Filed under: Hevea brasiliensis (rubber tree)
Lineage: Eukaryota; Viridiplantae; Streptophyta; Magnoliopsida; Malpighiales; Euphorbiaceae
Source: RNAcentral